RNAcentral lists this ribosomal RNA (466 nucleotides) under Clostridioides difficile. RNAcentral describes it as "bacterial LSU rRNA". It matches the Rfam family "Bacterial large subunit ribosomal RNA", at positions 2185 to 2648 of the family's 2925-position model. The record is from RNAcentral. Lineage: Bacteria; Bacillati; Bacillota; Clostridia; Peptostreptococcales; Peptostreptococcaceae.
GCCAUCCUUGGGAUACCACCCUUGUAGUACUGGGACUCUAACCAUAGGCCAUGAAUCUGGUCUUGGGACACUGUCAGGUGGGCAGUUUGACUGGGGCGGUCGCCUCCCAAAAGGUAACGGAGGCGCUCAAAGGUUCUCUCAGUACGGUCGGAAAUCGUACGUAGAGUGUAAAGGCAAAAGAGAGCUUGAUUGCAAGACAUACAGGUCGAGCAAGGAUGAAAAUCGGACUUAGUGAUCCGGUGGUUCUGCGUGGAAGGGCCAUCGCUCAACGGAUAAAAGCUACCCUGGGGAUAACAGGCUUAUCUCCCCCAAGAGUCCACAUCGACGGGGAGGUUUGGCACCUCGAUGUCGGCUCAUCACAGCCUGGGGCUGUAGUAGGUCCCAAGGGUUGGGCUGUUCGCCCAUUAAAGUGGUACGCGAGCUGGGUUCAGAACGUCGUGAGACAGUUCGGUCCCUAUCCGUCGCA